GAGGUCAAAAGCAACACAGAUAAUAAUCUAUACUAUAGAACUGUAAUGAGCAUACCAAUAUUCAUUUCUCUUCCUGGGGACAUUUGAAGUAAACAGUGUGCUUGUUACUAGUACUGUUUCUUAGCUCUAAGACCAUUCUUCUAUACUCUGCCAGAUUGCCUUUUUUCCCCUUUGGGGAUUUCCUAGGGCCAAUUUAACAAUAUAAGAAGAUAUUCUCAGUUGUAACAACUGGGAAAUGGAGGGACAA
Molecule: long non-coding RNA, 247 nt
Organism: Perognathus longimembris pacificus (Pacific pocket mouse)
Lineage: Eukaryota; Metazoa; Chordata; Mammalia; Rodentia; Heteromyidae
Exons: 3
Source: RefSeq, a predicted model, not a curated record